UGCAGGUGGGGAGCUGGGGCUGGAACCGGGAGCCUUACACCGGCCCUUGCUCUUCGCGCCACCUGUGCUUAACCCGCUGCGCUACCACCCAACCCAGUCAUUUUUUUGUUUUUAACAAAUCAUUGUAUAUUUUAUUAUUAUUAUUAUUUUUUUAACCAGAGCACUGCUCAGCUCUGGCUUAUUGUGGUGAAGAGGAUUGAACCUGGGACUUUGGAGCUUUGGGCAUGAGUCUGUUUAUGUAACCAUUAUGCUAUCUAUCCCAACCCCCCUAUUUUUUUAAUUGCCACUAGGGUUACUUCUGGGACUUGGUGUUUGCACUUUGAGUCUCCUGCUCCUGAUGGCCUUUUUCUUUCUUUUUUCCUUUUAUUUGAUAGAACAGAAAGAAAUUGAGAGGGAAAGGGAAGAUAGAGAAAGAGAGACACCUGCAAUACUUGCUUCAGUGCUUAUGAAGCUUCCCUCCUGCAGGGAAUUGAACCUGGGACCUUGGAGCCUCAGUUGAUGGACCCCAUAAAAAGAUGAGGAGAUCAGAGACAGAUGGACAGAUGGCCCAAGAAUCAUAGAGGUGACAAACACCCAACAAUAACAGCACAAAUGAACCAAAGACCACAUGAAAACAGAAGACAAGAUGUGCAGCUGGGGAGAUACCCAGUGACCAGAGUUCCAGACUUGCAUGUCUGAGUUUCCUGGUUCAGGCCUGGAGUGAUGUUCUAGCUUUCCUCUCUCUCUCUCUCCCCCUAUUAUAUGAAACAUUCUCUGCCUCUCACGAAAGAAAUAAAAAUACA
Long non-coding RNA from Erinaceus europaeus (western European hedgehog), 782 nucleotides. RefSeq lists it as uncharacterized. Lineage: Eukaryota; Metazoa; Chordata; Mammalia; Eulipotyphla; Erinaceidae. The transcript is spliced from 3 exons. The record is from RefSeq and is a predicted model, not a curated record.